RNA transcript from Serinus canaria (Common canary), 13427 nucleotides. It is a transcript of the gene named apolipoprotein O, with no coding region annotated. The transcript has 6 exons. The record is from RefSeq and is a predicted model, not a curated record. NCBI's taxonomy places the organism in Eukaryota, Metazoa, Chordata, Aves, Passeriformes, Fringillidae.
UGUGCGUGUUUAUUUGGGGUGCCCGGGGGUGCGAUGCAGAAAGGCACCCGGUGGGAGGACUGAAGCACGGUGUCCUUGUAUGUACUGAAAUGAGCACGUCGACCGCGGUGUCUGCUUGAACAGUAACGUGUUAUAUAUAACCUGUGUUAUAACCUGUGUUAUACGUAUGUUGUAACCUUUGCUGGCCAGCGGCAUGAGAUCUUUCUCAUUUCAGCCUUUUUUCUUGUUACUGUCUUUGUAGACUGGGCGACAAAUAUUAUUGUUAGGGAAAGCAUGUGGAUGUGAGAGCUGCCCCAACAUAAGAACAACCUGAAUGUUUUGUAUGAAACAGGUUUGAGGUCCUCUUCUGUGCCAGUGUGUAGGAGAGACCUGAAGAUCAUCUUACACCUCAGCUUGACACAAACUGCAGACAGCAAAAUGACAGUCAGGUGAUUCAUGGCAGGGGACGUGGAAGGGUUUAGCUCCUCCAUCCAUGACACCAGUGUCUCUGCAGGAUUCAGAGCACUGUAUGAGGAGGGAUUGCUUCUUGAUGUCACACUUGUCAUUGAAGACCACCAAUUUCAGGCCCAUAAAGCACUGCUUGCCACCCAGAGUGAUUACUUCAGGAUUAUGUUCACAGCAGACAUGCGAGAACGAGAUCAGGACAAAAUCCAUUUGAAAGGUCUGACAGCUACAGGCUUCAGUCAUGUCCUACAAUUCAUGUACUAUGGAACUAUUGAACUGAGUAUGAACACUGUUCAUGAAAUCCUUCAGGCUGCCAUGUAUGUCCAGCUUAUAGAGGUGGUAAAGUUUUGCUGCUCUUUUCUCUUAGCUAAAAUCUGCUUAGAAAACUGUGCAGAAAUUAUGAGACUUCUGGAUGAUUUUGGUGUAAACAUCGAAGGAGUCAGGGAAAAAUUGGAUUCCUUUCUUCUAGAGAAUUUUGUGCCACUCAUGUCCAGACCUGACUUUCUUUCAUAUCUGAGCUUUGAGAAGCUCAUGUCUUACUUGGAUAAUGAUCAUCUGAGCAGGUUUCCAGAGAUAGAGCUGUAUGAAGCUGUUCAGGCCUGGCUACGCCAUGAUAGAAGACGCUGGAGACAUACGGACACCAUCAUUCAGAACAUCAGGUUUUGUUUGAUGACACCAUCCAGUGUUUUUGAGAAGGUAAAAACAUCAGAGUUUUACCGAUACUCCCGGCAGCUGCGACAUGAGGUUGACCAAGCCAUGAAUUACUUUCAUAGCGUUCACCAACAGCCUUUGAUGGAAAUGAAAUCGAACAAAAUUCGUUCUGCCAAACCCCAGACUGCAGUAUUUAGAGGAAUGAUAGGACACAGUAUGGUAAACAGUAAAAUUCUUCUCUUGCACAAACCGAGGGUCUGGUGGGAACUAGAGGGUCCUCAAGUACCUUUACGACCAGACUGCCUUGCCAUUGUAAAUAACUUUGUGUUCUUAUUAGGUGGGGAAGAACUGGGGCCAGAUGGUGAGUUCCAUGCUUCAUCCAAAGUGUUUAGAUAUGAUCCGAGACAGAAUACUUGGUUACGAAUGGCAGACAUGUCUGUGCCACGUUCUGAGUUUGCUGUCGGAGUGAUUGGCAGGUAUGUUUAUGCAGUGGCUGGGAGAACCAGGGACGAAACGUUUUACUCCACUGAACGGUAUGAUAUUACUGAAGAUAAAUGGGAAUUUGUGGAUCCCUAUCCAGUCAAUAAGUACGGACAUGAAGGGACUGUGCUUGGUAACAAGUUGUAUAUCACUGGUGGAAUUACAUCAUCUUCAACUUCUAAGCAAGUGUGUGUGUUUGAUCCCAGUAAAGAAGGGACAGUAGAGCAGCGAACACGGAGAACUCAAGUGGUCACUAAUUGUUGGGAGAACAAAUGCAAAAUGAAUUAUGCGAGAUGCUUUCACAAAAUGAUUUCUUAUAAUGGUAAGCUUUAUGUCUUUGGUGGUGUCUGUGUGAUCCUGAGAGCUUCCUUUGAAUCUCAAGGAUGUCCAUCUACAGAGGUUUAUGACCCAGAUACCGAUCAGUGGACUAUACUGGCUUCUAUGCCAAUAGGUAGGAGUGGUCAUGGUGUAGCUGUUCUGGACAAACAGAUAAUGGUUCUUGGAGGCCUUUGUUACAACGGUCAUUACAGUGAUUCGAUUCUCACUUUUGAUCCAGAGGAAAACAAAUGGAAAGAAGAUGAAUAUCCAAGGAUGCCAUGCAAGCUGGAUGGCUUACAGGUUUGCAGCCUGCACUUCCCUGAGUAUGUUUUGGAGCAUGUUAGACGUUGCAGCUAAAACAGAGUGAACAACCCAGUCAAAUACAAAAGAGCUAUACUAAUUUGUUGAAAAAAAUUACAAACCAGUUGAAUUCCUGCAGAGACAUUUCCUUGUCUAUAAGAACAGUGGCCAAAUGCUCAAGAGAAACAGGAUGUACAGGCAGUGUACUUACCAAGUUUAUUAGAAAAGGUGAUAGUUGCUCUGACCUUGUGAAAGCUUUGUUGUUUUUUUUAAUAAAUGUAAUUGUAAGGAUGAGAAAAAAAUACAUUUUUGAGUCUGCUUUUUUUGGUAACAUUUUAUGUCCACAAUGUGUUCUGGGUUUUUUUUAAUGGCCAUUAUACCACUAUGCUUUUGAAAUAAGUUGAGUUUGACAAAAUAUUUGUGAAAGGAAGAGAAGAAAGAUGUUAUUUUCAUUUUUUAUCAAGCAUCAAAAUACAGAUCAUCACCUGUACUUGGGUACAACCAGGUAUAAAGUAACAAGCCAACCAUUUCUGUAUUUUAUGUUGUCUUUUAGAUGCUUUUCCUAUUAACUGCAAAGUAAUCUCAAAUCUACUAGGUGUUUUUGUUUUUCCUUCUUUACUUUGGAAAAGAAUUUUAACCCUUUUGCAUGACCCUUUUCCUGGUUUUGUAUAGUUGUACCAGUAAGUCUGCCAAAAUGCAAAUUACACAUUUUCUACUAAAUUGAAAACAAAGCAUUUUUAUAUUCAAAACACUAUUUCUAUGCUGCCUUCUAUUGUCUGUGUCGUGUUUGUUGGUGAGUAAAAAAAUGUAUACACACAUGUGCAUACACUGUAAAAACUGUAUAUAAAUGCAUCUUUUUAUGUGCAGUUAAAAUAUUAUAUUUUAACUAGUGCACAGAUUCAGCCAUAUCUGUUGAGUUUUGGGUAUUUCAUGAGCUGAAUAGUUCAAAGUUCUUAAAUGAAACUGGAAGCCUCAUUUGGUAUCAAAGUAUCUUUAGUAUAUACUGAUUGAUCCAGUAACCAGAUUGAUCCAGUAACCUUAAACUCUUUAUAUUGUUGCUACAUAAUGAACUCUUGGUUAUUUGUUAUUCUAUAAAUUAUUUUUUAAAAAGUAAACUCAUACUACCUGAGUUUCGUUUUGGUUUCAGUGUGCUGCCCACUAUUCUUUUUUCGUUGAAAUUGAAAACGUCAAUAAGCAAAUGCUCAGCACUGCUGUGACCCACAGUUAUUUUUGGAACUGGAUACUGGAUAUGCUACAGUUUAUUGUCAAUACUUUAUUAUAUUCACAAUUCAAUAUGAGUACUCAUAUUGAAGUGGUAUAAUAUUUUUAUUAUUAUUAUUUAAUUAUUAACUGUUAAGAACUACUGUGUUUGGAAAAUGUGGAGUUAGGUGAUUGGUUUGUUGGUAUAAUUUGUUUCUUUUGUAAAAACCUACACAGCUAUGGCUACUGACCUUGGAGUGCCUGAAUAGAGAUGGCUGGUCCAAGAGGGCUUUGACUAUUCUAUUGCGUUAACUUGCAGGUAUAAGUGACAGUAGAUUGAUAAGAAUUAUCUGCCAAGACAUAAAUAAUAACAGUAACUGCAUUUGGACUAUCUUUGUGGAUGUAAAUUAGCCACAUGUAGAACUCAAAGGAGAGAUCUGGUGAAGCUGAAGGCUCACAUGUAGUUCAGAUGCUGAAACAUGAGCUGCAUAUUUUGUAAAAUCUUAUGCUGCUGUGUUUCAUUCUAAGCAAUAGACUUUACUUUAUAUGCAGCAAUGCAAAACCACUGUAUUCAGCAUCUCCCAGUCAGAAUUCACUGUAGAAAAGGAAUGUACAGUACUCAGGGAGUUCAAAAGAAUGCACUUACAAAGGGACCAAAAUCACCCUAAAUUUUCUAUGUUAAAAAUAACAUCUGUUUGUGUAAAUGAAAUUUCAAAUAAUAGAAGUUAAAACAAUGUGUAAAACUUCUCAUAUUGUGUUCCUGUAUAUUUGUAGGAAUUAUGUUCUGGGUUGAAAUGUGAGUAUUUGGCGCUAUAUGGCAAGUCAGCAGAUUUUUUUAGGGUUUUAUUGUUAGAAAUGAUUUAUUAAUCGAGUAUCUUCAUAUGUUUUAAAAGAAAGAGGAAAUGUUUGCCAUCAUAGCUCUAGUGAUAAGUUAUUUACACCAGAAGGGACUGGACCAAAUAUUGAUAUUCAGCCUUUUGAUGCAGACUAGUUUGCAGCUAAAUUUGUCUUUUUUAAUAAUAAUUCAGUUUACUGAAUUAGAAAUAUAAUUUACUUUCUUGAUAGCCUAACUUAAAAAAAAUGUGGCUUACAUUAAAACAUCAGUUUUACUGUGACAUAUGUACAUCACCUUGUAUGGGGAGAGAUAAACUGACUCUGGUAGGUGCUGGCUGUGUGCUGACUGUACAUAGUUCAUGGAAUACUGGGGCACAAGAGAAAAAAAAAAGGUUGGGGGAUUUUUGUUUUUUGGAGUUGGGGUUUUUUUGUUGGGUUGUUUGGUGCUUUUGUUAUUAUUUUUUUUAUCAGUCUCAUUUCUUAAUGGGGCAGCAAGCUAAUCCUAUGUGAGGCAGCUGUCAAGGGCACAUUAUACAUAGAGUACCUCACUUUAUGUGGGGCCAGUGCCAGUGUGGGGAGCAGCCCUGGCUCUGGAUAUCUGGUGUUCAGGAGUCAGAUGUCCUGGAGACACGGCCAAGACUUUAUUAAAAGUAAUGGUAAGGAUAGGGGCGUGUCAAGUUACAUUUUUGAGUCUGCAUUUAAGCACCUUCUGAAGCUCCGUGCACUCAGCAACUGCCACUACAGUCAUUGGUGAGUGUUGACACUUGAAAAAUGAAGAACCAGAUCGGUUUUGGUGCUCUGCUUUUAAGCUCCUGUUUAUCUUCAGGUGCCCCAUUCUGAAAGAUCUUGUUCAGGAUUGUAGUAGUAAUUGUUCUCUGAAAUGAUAAUUGAACUGUUGGUUUCAGCUCCCCUGAAGCUAUGUCUCCAUUGAGAGGCUGGCUGUAACCUUUCCAGCAUUAGGGAUGGUUGGAAUUUGCUUGGGAUUAGAAUGGUGGGGAUAUAUGAGAAUGUUUUGUCAGUUUACAUAUCUACUGUGCUUUCAUUGUUUCAGACCUGAAAUAUAAUGGAACUUUAUACUAUAAUGGAACUUCUGAGACAGUUACUCCGGUUACUUGGAGGGAUUUUUUUUAAUUGAAAUUUUUUUUAAUGUUUGCUCUUAGUAUUUAGCUCCAGAUAAUUUCGUACCUUAAUAGGAACAAACCUAAGAUGGCUAAUAAGAAUUGUCUAUUACCAUCAAAUUUUGAGCAUUAUGGUCAGAUUAAGAUGGGUUUUAAAAAACAUUUAAAUGCCUCUAAUUUGUCAAGGAAUAGCUAAGUUAUGAUCUUUGGUUAUUAGAUUUGGGGAGGUUCUCCUAUUCCUGUCCCAUAAUGGAAUACCAGCAAAUCUAAUGUCACCCACAUCUUUAAAAUCCAACAUAUUACUUGCUUUGAAAAGCAAAUGUACUUGCCUUUUUUUAGAAAGGUGGACAUAGCGAGUUACAGUCUAGGGGUUUUUUUUCUAUAGAAAAAAUGUAUCAGCUUCAUUUCUUAAUUUAGCAACCAACUUCAGGAGGAAAUUUUCUUUUGAAAUGAGACAAUGGACAAAAAGCGGAGUGUUCCUGUAAAGGGACUGGAUACUGCUAGUUCCCAUUUCACAUGCUCCUAGGUCUGGUUUUAGGGGACGGAUUUUUUUUUUUAUAAGUACUGCAUAAAGAAAAAAUAGCUCACUUUCUGCCACAAAGUGUUGGUAGUUUCAUUGUGGGGAGGCAUCAGCUGGCAAAAAGAAACUUUAGGUACUUUUUUCCCCUUGAAUUCAGCUGGAAGAAGGCAGACCUUGGUUUUACAGAGGUCCUGCUGUUUCAGAAAGCACUGCUAGCAAGUGGCAGCAUAUGAGCUACCUGGCAACCUGCUUUUAUGUUACUUUCUUUUGAAAAAUGUGGAUGCCCUACUUCCUGCAGUGUGAUAGCAGUCCUGUUAGAACUAGCUCUGAGGGUUUGACUGUAAUAUUUCCCUGGUUCCUAAGCUUUGCAGCUCUUUAUUCUUGAGGCCCUCUUGCCUUAGAAUCCCAAGUGCUGCAUUUCCUCAUGCUGAUAAUAUGGUACCUACUUGUGUCAGGGAUUAAGCUUCACUUGACACUCAGAAAACAGAGAUAAAAUUCAGCAGGUGCAAAUUGAAACUGAUGUAAAAAACCCCAUUGCUUAACUCAUGAUGUCCAUUCUUUAGCAAAGGGAGGGUAAGCAUUGUGAGGAGAUACUAACAGUUCUUUCAAAUAAACUUGUAGUUUGUGUCAGCCUGCAUACGUCAAAGUCUUUUUAGAUUUAGUCACAUUUGUAGAGGUAUUUUGCCUUUUUAAUAUACUUUUUCUUAAAAAAAUAAAUAGUGAAUUGGGCCCCAGAUUCUUUGAACACUUCAUGUGUUAAAGAUGUCCACAUGAAGAUGUGGACUUCACAUAUGUGAAUAGUCCAAUACAAAGAAACAGAAGACUCUAAGGUACUUAAAGGAAAACCUGUAAGCACAUGUGUUCUAAGCCUGUGUUUAAGAGUUUAUAGGGUUGGGGCCAUCAAAGAAAACACCCCUCCUGCUCUCCUGCUAAUAAAAAUAUAUAUAUCUAGGUGGUGAAGUGACUUGAAUAAGCACCUGUCACACGUGGUGGGGUGUACUGAAGGAGAGUGGGAAAGAACAUAACUGGAAAACACAUCAUCUGUUUAAACAGAACUUGCUGGUGUCCUGUAGCUAACAUUCUGAGAUUUGUUCUGAGAUUUUGUUUGUUUUAGUUUGUUAAACAACUAAAAGCUGCUUAAAAUAAAUGCUAAUGACUACUUUUGCAUCUGUAUUCUAUUUUUGAAAGCUGGUGAGUAACUUGAAAAUUUCCAUUUUGUGUGGGUAAACUUCAUAAAACAUAGUUGUAUGUGGCAGGUGGAGGAAAAACUAAUCUGUUUUGAGCACAGUUUUCCUGUGUGUCCCUCUGCUAAUUUUUUUACACUUCUCGAAGUUCAGUUUAUUUAAUAUUUUAAAAAUAGCUUUCAAAAAUCAAUUUUAAAUACCUUUGGGUUAAUAUUAAGUUGGUAGCUAGGGGAAAAGAAUUUCUAUUUGCAGAUCGUUUUUAUUUAUGACUGUGGUAGAAAAAUCUUACUGUAAGUCUAGGAAAUGAAGUGCUCUGUAGAACUGUAAAGUUAGCUAUAUUUAGGGGGGCUUUUAUUACCUCAGUGGGACCCACCUAACUUUUGUGUCAGUGUUGGAGCAGGUGAAGGGAAGAGUGAAUUAUGUUUUUAUGUUAAAUAUUUUUCCCUAUAUAUUGUUAUUUUUGUAGGUCUUUCUAAAAUAAAUUAUUAUAUGCUGGAGAUUGCAAUUCCACUAUAAUAUCCCACAAUUCCAGUGUAAAAUAUCAGAUUGUUUGUAUUGAAAAGAAUGUAUUUGAUAAGUUAACAGGAAAAGUUAUUUUCAAACUGUACUGUGUUUGUGUCUAGCUAUUGGAAAUACUUUUCCUAUAGAAAAUCAAAAUUAUAUGUGUAUGUCCUCAUAUAUACAUUUGGAUUACCUGUCUAAUGAUUACCCUAGGACUGCUAUAAACUUAUCUAAAUAAUUUAAGAAUUGCCUCUUUUUAACUGUUUUAAAGCAUUUUUUCUUGUCUUUUUUUUUUUUUGGCAGAAAGUAAUUUUCCCUUGCUAUGGAUACAGUAUGCUCAGACUUGGAUAUAUGCUCUGUUUGGGUUUCAAGCUGAAAAAAAAUGUAUAAAAUGUGUAUAAAGAAAAGUGUAAAUAAAAUAUUUUUAAUCUUUAAACACUCUUGUGUAAACUUUGUAGUACUCAAAAAUGUAGUGGACCUGGAUUAUCUUCUCCAGGACUUCAGAAAUGACUCAGUUAAACAGCUCUUCAAAACUGUCUUACUGCAAUGUGUAUGUAAGAUUUUUUAAAGUUGUUCCAUCAAGUUGGAUGUGCUUACAUAAGCAACUUCAAGCUCUUCUCUUUAGCUGUUAUUUCACAGUCUUCCCAGUCUUAGUUGCUGUAGUGUGUUUAUCUUUUUACUCUGCAUUUCAGCCUUGAACAAAUGUUUGGAGUUGACUUGGUUGUUGCAUUAGUCCCCUGGUGUGCCAUUAUGAAUUCAAACUGCCAAGGCUGAACAGGCAGGGCAGCCUUUGGUGCUGGUCAGCAGCCAGGAGAGAGCAUUCCCUGCUGUGGGGCUCACAGACCAUGUGUUCAUUGCACCCCUGGAACUCUGAGAGCCACAAGGCCAGGUUAUACUCCUUAACAUUUCCUGUAACAGGAGGGGGAAACUUCAUUUCAGGAUUAAAGUGUCAGAUCAGCAUUCAGUACCAUGGGAGGAGGAGCAGGGUGGGAGGGCAGGUAAAACAGGUUAUAAUCCUAUUUUCUCAAGCAGUUUGAUGAAAGGCUUCCUUGUCAGUCCACUGUCACACUUUUACUUUCUCUGUCACUAUUUUGUCAAGUCUCUCUCAGAUAAAAGCCCCUGGUUCAAAAGUCUGUUGUCAAGAAUAUUUGAAAAUAGCUGUGGUGUCUUUAUUUUUUUCAAUAUUGAGUUCUAAAAAGCAUUUUAGUUUUAUUUUAAUAAUUCAAAUUACUCUAAACUUCAUUUGCAUAAAGUACCUUUCCCCACCCUCUCCUCCUUCCUCUCCUUUUUUAGUAACUUUUCUUCAUCCUACACAGUGUACUGUUUAAUGGGAGAAUGCUGGGGAUGAGUUAAGGGGAGGAAGGGCCACUUUUAAUUGUAAUAUGUCCCCAUUUUGAGUUCAAAAGGAGACUAAAUGCAUUAGACUGAUACAGUGGAAGAGAAGAUUACAAUCUUGUCACAUUUAAAUAUUACUUACAUUUCUUUUCAUUUGCCUUUUUAAUUUCCCUUCUCAGGGAACCAGGUUGAAUUUUUGGCAAUACCUUUUUUCCAAGAUGUCACAAUGCCUGACUUGUUAGCACCUCUGUAGUUCGUCAGGCAUCUCCAUCAAAGUUCCCAUUAUUUCACUAAGAGCUCUCACAUUUUGACUGGUUCAUACCAAAUUCUUCUUUUUUUUUUUUUUUUUAAUAUAUGACCUUAAUUUUGACAGUAGAUAGUAAUCUGUGUUCAUUUGUUUUGUAUGGUAUGAAAUUAAUCUUAUUUUGGCAGAGGGCUUAUUUGGUGAAUGCUUUCUAUAUUCUUUGCUAUAAAUUAUUCUUGUUGACAUGAAAUUCCUAAUUUUAACAGCUGUUCCCCCUUUGUUAUAGGUUGGGAUUUUGGGGUUCUGCUUUUUGUGUUUGGGUUUAUUUGUGUGUUAAUCCAUUAACUUCAUAAUACAGAAAGGCAGAGUGUUGCUUUGGGUGUUGCACAGAUUCUGUAUCAGUUCUGUACCUUUUGAGUUCAUAAUACUCUUGUGGAUAUGUGAUCCCCUACCCAGCCUCUGGACUGUCAAAUCUUCCUGAUGGUUCGGUGUCAUCCUUUAACUGAAGGACCUGGACCAAGGCAACUUUCUUAGCAUGUGCAAAACCUUCAUUCAAGGAAGAGGGUAGGGAAUAUGUGUAAAGGCAGCUUCAAUUUCUUGUUUUCUUGAACACUUUCCACUUCUACAUUCAAUUCUAUAGCUGUGCUGACAGCUGCUGUGGGCAAUGUUAACAGGUAAAAAUAAACCUCAUCAUUAUGUCUGUUUAAGCCUGCAGUGACUGGUCAGUCAUCUAUCCAUUGGAAUGAAUGCCAGCAUUAACAUCAUAUGCUGAGCACCAAACAUUCUAGAUUGGUGGUAUGUGGUAUGUAAAGGAACUAAAAAAAUACUCUUGGCUGUGUAUCUGAUGUCUUCAAAUGUCUCCUGGUGGUGUCACCCUUGGUAGCAUUUCUCCUGUAUUACAAAUAAAUGUUGUUCAAUAAGUGGUGCUGAAUAAAAUACCUGUUUUCUAAUGAGGUAGAAGGCUUUAAUGGUUAACCCUUUUAUUGCACUGUUUAAUUUUACCAGACAGAUGUGUCUGUCUUUGGCUUAAACUGACAGCCUCCUUUCCCACAGCCUUUUCCAUAUGUCCUUAGACAUGUUCUAAACAUUGAUUUCUUUGGACUUUGUCAUGUGUUUCUUACAUGUUUGAGUUACACCAUGUGAUUAUUUUUUAUGUGUGAGAAUCUGUUCUUUCCUGUGGUGAAUUGUGCAUGGUGUGUGUCUGUUUAUAUGUACUUGAGUGCUAUUGAUGAGACUUUCUGACUUUACCAUCCUUUCUUUGUCAAAGGAAUUACAUCAUGCCAACAGAAACCAAGUAUUUCCUCUGUAGUUCUGUCACUUCAGGGUAAGAAUCCUGACGUGGUCAGUGGGUUCCUCUUGUGCUAACCUUCCCAGAUUGCCAAAGUCAUACAAAAUGCAUGGGAUUGUGCUUCUGGUGUCAAUGGAAGGCAUGGCUUUAGUGCUUCCCCUAUGUUGGUAUAAAGAUGACCUUUAUUUUCACUCCUGGAAAGCAAGGAGUUGCUCUGCUAUCAUUCUCCACCUCUCAGAAAGCCCUCCUGGCAAAUUUAUGCUCUGGAAGAGUCCAAGUUACUUAGGUGUCCUCAGUCAGUUGAGGAUAUUCCAUAGGAUUUGCCUUGUGCCACACAUGCUCUCACUUCUUCCUCUGAUCUUACAGGUAGUUCUGCAAGGAUUUUUUCAUCUAACACAGGUGGCAACUUGAUACCAAGAACUGAAUUUUAACUUACUGUAAUGAGAUCCGAAAUACCUAAGUUUCAGAGGGCAAAAGCUUUUUUUAAAAUCUAUAUAUUUCUUCUCCUGUGAAUUUGAAGUUCAUUUAAUUGCAAUCAGGAAGUUGCUGUCAAGUAAUAACUUUUCCUAAUCAUUCUCCUGACAGAUUAUCUAAAGCACUGCAAAACAUUAUGUAGUCAGAAGGAAAAAAAAAAAGGUGAUGAUAAUUAACUGAACUGCAGCUUUUAGUUGAAUGACUUUUCAUGGUCUUAAAGUUGGGAACUGAUCCAAUUAACAACCUUCUUGGAAGUGUUUAAGCUGUUUUCUUAAAAAGGUGGAUUUUGGCUUAGUGCUGUUCUCUGAAAACAAGAGGAGUGAGAUUGACCUCUGCCUAAGUUAAACACACUAAAAACCUUAGCCAAGGAAAUCUCAGUACAAAAUUGUUAACACCCAAAUAAUAACCAACUGUACUCUGCAGAACUUAUGCUCCUUAAAAAGUGAUCAGUUUCUCAAUUUUAGUUUUGUCCUAGCUUUUCUGUGCAGAAAUUUUUAUUUUUCCCAUGGUAAAAAUCAAUUACAAGAAUGUAUUUUUUGCUAAACUUGUUAAACUGGAGUAGAAAGCCGCAGAGAGAUCUGCUCUCAGAUCUGCAGCCUGGAUCAGAGCAGGCAGAACACAUUAAAGUGACUGGAUGGGUUUGCAAUUUUCCAGUGCUUUAACUUUUGAUGAUUUAUGCAAAUAAUCCAAUAUACUCCAGAGAUAAUGUCUGGUACCAGACAUACAAUUUACCUGUUUGAUAAUCCCAUUUUCUGUAACAAUGGAUUGAUCCCUCAGGCUUUUCAGUUCAUGAAAUUGCCACUCUUGAUAUUCAGCAAAGUUGUUCCUUUUUGUAACACCCAGUUUCUGGGCCUGUGUAGUACCCUGCAUUGUUACAUGCAGAGAGGAGUGAGAACCCAUUUGAUCACACUUGAGAAGUGUGACAUUUUUCUCAUCUAUACAAGAGCCAAAGCAAGCUAAGCCAUGGUUUUUUGGUGUGCCAGCACCAUAUUGUACUAAUUUACGAGUCUGAGGAGGUAGUUUCAAAUGCUUGGAUAGAAGCAGUUAAAAGUGAAGACUCAGUCAGGCUGUGCCCCACUGCCCUAUGCCCCCGCGGUUCCUGCACCAUGAGCUGCAGUCAUGCCAGCCAUGGCCCUUCUCCAGAGGGAGUGGGGGGUAGGCAUCAAUGAUGUCACAUGAGGAGAAGUAGGGGAUAAUGUGCGUUAACCAGAUAAGGGAUCAUUAGGGGAAACUACCCAAAUGACUGCUUUCAUUCGUGAUUGUGAGAGACCAGUCCUAGAGUUUCCUAAAUGCACUUCGGGACUAAGCUUGUCUAAGGUUGGUGUUGCUCCUCUGUGGCAUAUGCUCCUAGAAAGGAAGCAGUAAUAGGAGCUACCAGAUAUGAUGGGGUUUGAUAAAUAUGAGGCAAAGGAAUGCAACGGUGCAAACCCAGCCUGCACAAGUGCUUUGGUACCACAGAGCAAGGAACUGCAGGAGGACUUCCUGACUAAUAAGUGCUCUGCACAGAAAUCAGAUUAUGUCCCAGAAAGGGCAUUUUGCAUCCAUAAGGAAUGUGUACCUUUAAUAGAAAAUUAUUUGGUAGACCUAGAAACUCUUAGGUAAAUAAUGUACUGCAUUUAAUAGGCAUUCAUAUUUAUGAAUAUAUGUAAAUCAGUGCAUUUACUGGCAAAUGAGGUAAAGCUAUUCACAUCACCUUGCUAAGAAAUUAGGGAUUACUGUGAAAAUAAUUUUUUAAGGUAAAAAAAAUUCAUGCACAAAAUAUUUACAGACGGGCAACAGAUGCAGGACCUUUCAUCUUCUAUCUUCAAUUGAUUUCCGGAAUGUAUCCCGUUCAACUGAAAUCUGGGGUGCAUUUGAAUUUUGAAAGGAGCUGGAUUUUGUUCUUAUGAGUAUUUAAGGGCAUCAAAAAGCUGUUUGUAUUUUCAAUGCUACUGGUAGUCUGUUACCUGUGCUUGACUAGGCAAUCCACACAUCUCUGUUGAUGGUAUCAACUAUCUGUUGAUAGAAUGACAGAAGAAUUAUUCAUUGUGGCUGGAAGGAGUAGCUGAAAAAUGAGGAACCAGAGCUACUGGUGGCUGCAUCAAAAAGCCAAUGAUUUGAAUUAGGGGAAGGAACGUUUGGGUUUUUAACCAUGGUAUAUCAAAAGUGAAAUAGAUGCAGCUGGAUUAUACUGGGUUUUUGCAUUAUGUAUGUCUCUCUUCUACCUGCCUCUUGUCUUAUUUUAUAGAAUCUUUAUUUGGAAAGAACAGAGUGUAUUUUGGAUGCUGUCAAAAUGUGACAAAGCUGGUGAGAAAACAGGUGCUGAAAUUCGUCCUGGUUUACCUCAGAUGUGAAUGCAGUAAAGCCUUUGCUGCAAUUAAAGGAUUAAUCUUUUGCCAAAUUGGCGAGGUGAAUUGCCUCACGGUGGAAGCAUCCGGCCACCAAAGCUAGGGCAAGGUAAUUCGGUUGGGGGCCACCCCUGUCAGCCUGAGCUUGCUCUCUGUCCAGGUUUAUGCUGCUUCUUCAGAGAAGACUUCCAAAAAGGAGUUGCUGAAAA